Centruroides sculpturatus (bark scorpion) is the source of this 2383-nucleotide long non-coding RNA. RefSeq lists it as uncharacterized. Lineage: Eukaryota; Metazoa; Arthropoda; Arachnida; Scorpiones; Buthidae. The transcript has 5 exons. The record is from RefSeq and is a predicted model, not a curated record.
GUGUUAUAGAAAACAGUUAAGAUGGGGAAAAAGAAGAUAACAACCGUCCCCUGGAUGACUCCUGUGUCAUUUUAUGCAAAGCGACUCCGAAUAUCAAACAGAUCACAAUACAGACAAGAUGGAGAUGGGUGACAUCUGGGAUGGAAAGUCUCAGCGGAGACGACAAAACGUAAUUCUGUAAGAAGAGGACAAAAGACAGUCCAGCAGGGAGUAGUGAAGCUAGGGAUGGCAGCUCGGUCAGGGGGCUGGCAACAAGACGGCAUGGGGUCGGUGAGUGUCCGCACAAGCAAGCAAUCGUCUGCUGUUGGCCGACAAUAUCUGGCAGUCUGCAUUCUGUCUCUACCAGAACAAUCUGUCUCUGUUCUCAGAAGCGGAAUGGUAAACAAUGGCGAAUGGUAAGAGAAAUACGGCCGGUUUUCGACGCAGUCUUUCUCUUACAAAUAAACUGCACUGACACCUCUGCCGUACAUCUCGCAAAGUGAUGACAUGAUUUCAAACUUGCACGUUAACAAGCCGCAACACCUGGCAAUGUUGCAGAUGAUUCCCUCCCCCGACAAUAGCAGCCAACGGAUGGCGAUUCAGCAAAAACACGUGCACGGGAUAAAAUAUACUGCUUGCACAUGGAAGGAAAUAUACGAACGAGGUCAGCCUUGUUAACUGUAACUGUUCGCAACGGAUGCUUCUCUCGUUUUGCCCAUCUAAAUGAAGCGAAGAAUGGCUUUAAACGACCAUCUUAAUUUAUGUCAAGCUGGAUGAAUAGAUGGGCGAGUGGGUGCCAACCUAGACCUAUCUCAGGCGGAACUGUUCGGAGUGAAUUAUUGAAUCUUUAGUACAUCAUAUAAAAAAUGAUAAAUGCAUAAAAGAAGACUGGCUCUCGAAGCGAUGUAUAUGCUUGUAUUUAUUUAUGAGAAAAUUCGCAGUUCGUAGGAAAUUUAUCAAUUCUCUAUAUGGAAGUGCAUUCGUCACUAAACUGACCAAAAGGAGACUGCAUCAGACACGCCUUCAGGCAGGCGGGGGUGGAGCAACUUCAGUUUGAAGUCCUCCAUUGGGUUAUGGUUGCUUAGCAACCGACAUCCAUAAGAGGAGGAGGAGAUCUUACAAACAUUUUAUGGAACCGUAAAAUGAAAAAUAUUUAUUGCUCAACGAGUUACACAAAGUCUAUUUUACAUCCGAUGGCAUAAAAUAGCUAUUUUGAAAGUGGAGUCGAGUCGCGCAUACCGUUCGUGUGUUGUUUCUUUUCCGUCUCAGCAAGACACUAUACGAAACAUAAAGAACUUGUUGAACGAAUCCGACUUUGAGUAGUUGAUGCGGAAACACAAGCUUCCAGACAGAAAUCGAUCAAGGAAAUCUUUUACUCUUCGUAACAUUAAUUAUCGUAUAACAUAAAUAUACUCGACAACAUCAACAUAUAAAUUAUAGUAAUUUAAUUAAUAAAGAGUGGCUUUAUAUCUACAGAAUUUACAUUUUUCUAUUUAGAUAUGGAAAGAUUCUAAACUUAUAACCUUGUACUGUAGAUAUAAAUUUUUCUUCAGAUGAAUAAUGAACCACUUAGAGUAAGUAAACAACUUCCAUUGUUCUAAGAAAAGAAGUCAUCAAUCGAUAUAUAAUUGCAUGUAAAUGUACAAUUAGAAAUUGAUAAAAGCGGAAGAACCAAUGAAUUCUCCAUUAUCGAUUCAUAUUUACAUUAAUAAGGACUCGAAAGUUCUAUUAAGUGUCCAAUGUAGUGAUGAAGUAAAUAAACUUAUACGAAAUUUGACCAUUUUUUCAUCUUUAUCAAAAUUUUUACGUAUAUUUUAUGCUUACUUUAUAACAGUUUUUAAUAGUCAGUAUCAUUAAUCUAUUUAUAUAAUUCCUUAUUAAUACAGGACCAGACUAAUUAAUUAAGUUUCAGUAUAAGAAAUAUUUUCAUCGAAAACUGUAGGCUUGUAGCUAGAUAUAAAUUAAAGAUAAAGAAACUAAAUACGGAUAUUUUUUUUAAUAAUAAUUAAAAUAAAUUAUCUUAAACAUUAAUCUAUUUGUUCAUACAUAUGCAAGAAUAGAAUUUCCAUAAGAAUAAUGUAUUUUCAGUAUUAAUAAAGAUAAAUUUUGACUUAAGAAUUUAAUUUAAAUCCAAAACAAUAACUAAAUAAGAUAAGAAACAGAAAUAAUAGAUUAAAUUUCGGGUCCAAAAUAGAAUCAAUGAUAGAAGAUGAUGUCGUUUAGAUAGGGUCUUGGAUUUUAUCCAAGAAUUUUGCAAAAAAUUUUUAAGUUUAUAUAUAAAUAACAGGCAUAGAUCCUCUAUGAAAUUAGUAGUUUAAAUAAGAAGUUUAAGUGAGAAUAUUUUAUAAAAAAAAUAAUCUCAUAUAAGUCUUAAAUAUGAAAUUUGAGCAUUUAAAACUUUAAA